UGGGGAUCUGGCACUGUGGAUCAUGGCAGGAAAGCAGUAGUGGGUGGUGCUGGGAUGGGCAGCACUGCCUCUGCAGUCACAGUAAAGUCUGCC
This 93-nucleotide microRNA precursor is filed under the name Dasypus novemcinctus (nine-banded armadillo). RNAcentral describes it as "miRNA (ENSDNOG00000028856.1)". The record is from RNAcentral. Lineage: Eukaryota; Metazoa; Chordata; Mammalia; Cingulata; Dasypodidae.